GUAACGAGCGCAACCCUUGUCCUUAGUUACCAGCACGUUAUGUGGGCGACUCUAAGGAGAACUGCCGGUGGACAAACCGGAGGAAGGUGGGGGAGUGACGUCAAGUCAUCAUGGCCCUUACGGCCUGGGCUACACACGUGCUACAAUGGUCGGUACAAAGGGCUGCCAAGCCGCGAGGUGGAGCUAAUCCCAUAAAACCGAUCGUAGUCCGGAUCGCAGUCUGCAACUCGACUGCGUGAAGUCGGAAUCGCUAGUAAUCGUGAAUCAGAAUGUCACGGUGAAUACGUUCCCGGGCCUU
RNAcentral lists this ribosomal RNA (298 nucleotides) under uncultured Pseudomonas sp. Its description in RNAcentral is "partial 16S ribosomal RNA". It matches the Rfam family "Bacterial small subunit ribosomal RNA", at positions 1089 to 1382 of the family's 1533-position model. The record is from RNAcentral. Lineage: Bacteria; Pseudomonadati; Pseudomonadota; Gammaproteobacteria; Pseudomonadales; Pseudomonadaceae.